RNAcentral lists this long non-coding RNA (1081 nucleotides) under Panax ginseng (ginseng). RNAcentral describes it as "long non-coding RNA (PGIN_LNC013219)". Lineage: Eukaryota; Viridiplantae; Streptophyta; Magnoliopsida; Apiales; Araliaceae. The record is from RNAcentral.
UGCAGCAACUCAGACCUUCCAUUCAUCCUUAAGAUGAGAGAGACAUCCAAAGGUUGGAGAGAGAGAGAGAGAGAGUAGAGAGGAGAGGAGGUUUAAGGGAGGUUUAGGUCUACCAACUGGUAGUUAGAGAUUGCACUCUUUAACCAAACACCAUCAACAGCAAGAACCAAGUCAAGCAACACUAACGAUUGUAACAACUAGCUGAUAGAAAUCAUAGAAAUUUAGAAAUAGAACCAUUAAAUGGGAGAUAGUUUUUUAAGCAAGAAUUUGGGCUUGUGAGACAAAAAAAGAAACAGAGCAAUCAGAUAGGUAUAGAGAGAGAUGGACGAGUCUUUUAUGUAGCUAUCUCAGGUGGGUAUGGAUGGAAUGAUGGGAUAGAGAAUAUAUACUUAUGAUAAGAAAAGGAGAGUAAAGAGAUGAUGAUUUAUUAUGUACUUUGAGCUACAAUAGUUCAUUUCUGGGUUGUUGUUUUUUCCUUUUUAUUUUGUUUUGAAUUUUGGUGUGUGUUUAUGUGUGUGAGAGAUUAAUUAGUGAAAAGGUAAUUCUCUGGGUAUCUUGGGAUCGGUAUGUUUCCAUUCAAGUAGGAUUGUUUUGGCCGAUCGGAGCUUUUCUGUUCCCCACAAGACACACAACUGUGACUGGUUUUCAGGUAUUUUUAUUAUUUUAUUAGUAAAUUAUUAUUAAUUUGUCUGACUUUGUUUUCCUUAUCAUCUUUUCUGCUGUUGUGAUAGAGAAUAUGCUAUCUUUUUCUCUCUGAACUAGACAAUGGAUAUAUGAUGAUAUUUAAAUUAAGAGUUGAUGGCUGUAAUUCCUUUAGGUAAAUUUCUUGGAUUAUUGGGUUAUCAAUCUUGCUCCAUAUACUUCCUUUUCUUUUAAUCUAUCUCUGCUUUUGAACAAUUUAUAUAUGAUAAAAUCUUAAAAAAUGUUGCUUUCCUUUAUUUUUGGUUAUCUACAUUGAUAGGCAAUUGUGUAUUUGUCUGGCUUUAUCUUCUGAUAUUAUUUUUUGGGUACUUUACCAACUGGAUUUUCCCCUAGGUUUCUGUCAUCACUGCUCAUUUAUUUAGUCAAGCUAGUAAAAGGG